This 400-nucleotide ribosomal RNA is filed under the name Staphylococcus aureus. RNAcentral describes it as "bacterial SSU rRNA". It matches the Rfam family "Bacterial small subunit ribosomal RNA", at positions 516 to 914 of the family's 1533-position model. Lineage: Bacteria; Bacillati; Bacillota; Bacilli; Caryophanales; Staphylococcaceae. The record is from RNAcentral.
CGCGGUAAUACGUAGGUGGCAAGCGUUAUCCGGAAUUAUUGGGCGUAAAGCGCGCGUAGGCGGUUUUUUAAGUCUGAUGUGAAAGCCCACGGCUCAACCGUGGAGGGUCAUUGGAAACUGGAAAACUUGAGUGCAGAAGAGGAAAGUGGAAUUCCAUGUGUAGCGGUGAAAUGCGCAGAGAUAUGGAGGAACACCAGUGGCGAAGGCGACUUUCUGGUCUGUAACUGACGCUGAUGUGCGAAAGCGUGGGGAUCAAACAGGAUUAGAUACCCUGGUAGUCCACGCCGUAAACGAUGAGUGCUAAGUGUUAGGGGGUUUCCGCCCCUUAGUGCUGCAGCUAACGCAUUAAGCACUCCGCCUGGGGAGUACGACCGCAAGGUUGAAACUCAAAGGAAUUGAC